Molecule: ribosomal RNA, 454 nt
Filed under: uncultured bacterium
Lineage: Bacteria
Description: partial 16S ribosomal RNA
Rfam family: Bacterial small subunit ribosomal RNA
Source: RNAcentral
GAUGAACGCUGACAGAAUGCUUAACACAUGCAAGUCAACUUGAACUUCGGUUUGGGUGGCGGACGGGUGAGUAACGCGUAAAGAACUUGCCUCACAGCUAGGGACAACAUUUGGAAACGAAUGCUAAUACCUGAUAUUAUGAUUAUAUGGCAUCGUAUAAUUAUGAAAGCUAUAUGCGCUGUGAGAGAGCUUUGCGUCCCAUUAGCUAGUUGGAGAGGUAACAGCUCACCAAGGCGAUGAUGGGUAGCCGGCCUGAGAGGGUGAUCGGCCACAAGGGGACGGAGACACGGCCCUUACUCCUACGGGAGGAAGCAGUGGGGAAUAUUGGACAAUGGACCGAGAGUCUGAUCCAGAAAUUCUGUGUGCACGAUGAAGUUUUUCGGAAUGUAAAGUGCUUUCAGUUGGGAAGAAAAAAAUGACGGUACCAACAGAAGAAGUGACGGCUAAAUACGUG